Molecule: ribosomal RNA, 675 nt
Filed under: Helicobacter pylori PZ5024
Lineage: Bacteria; Pseudomonadati; Campylobacterota; Epsilonproteobacteria; Campylobacterales; Helicobacteraceae
Description: bacterial LSU rRNA
Rfam family: Bacterial large subunit ribosomal RNA
Source: RNAcentral
UUAAAACAAGCUUUUAAGAGCAGAUGGCGGAUGCCUUGCCAAAGAGAGGCGAUGAAGGACGUACUAGACUGCGAUAAGCUAUGCGGAGCUGUCAAGGAGCUUUGAUGCGUAGAUGUCCGAAUGGGGCAACCCAACUAAUAGAGAUAUUAGUUACUCUAAUUAUAGAGAGCGAACCUAGUGAAGUGAAACAUCUCAGUAACUAGAGGAAAAGAAAUCAACGAGAUUCCCUAAGUAGUGGCGAGCGAACGGGGAAAAGGGCAAACCGAGUGCUUGCAUUCGGGGUUGAGGACUGCAACAUCCAAGAGAACGCUUUAGCAGAGUUACCUGGAAAGGUAAGCCAUAGAAAGUGAUAGCCUUGUAUGCGACAAGGCGUUCUUAGGUAGCAGUAUCCAGAGUAGGCCAGGACACGAGAAAUCCAGGUUGAAGCCGGGGAGACCACUCUCCAACCCUAAAUACUACUCUUUGAGCGAUAGCGAACAAGUACCGUGAGGGAAAGGUGAAAAGAACCGCAGUGAGCGGAGUGAAAUAGAACCUGAAACCAUCUGCUUACAAUCAUUCAGAGCCCUAUGAUUUAUCAGGGUGAUGGACUGCCUUUUGCAUAAUGAUCCUGCGAGUUGUGGUAUCUGGCAAGGUUAAGCGAAUGCGAAGCCGUAGCGAAAGCGAGUCUUAAUAGGG